GCCUGGGUGGCUCAGUGGUUGAGCAUCUGCCUUUGGCUCAGGGUGUGAUCCUGGAGUCCUGGGAUCGAGUCCCACAUCAGGCU
RNAcentral lists this transfer RNA (83 nucleotides) under Canis lupus familiaris (dog). It matches the Rfam family "tRNA". From Rfam's summary of the family: Transfer RNA (tRNA) molecules are approximately 80 nucleotides in length. The record is from Rfam by way of RNAcentral. Lineage: Eukaryota; Metazoa; Chordata; Mammalia; Carnivora; Canidae. RNAcentral also lists the same sequence under 1 other name.